RNAcentral lists this ribosomal RNA (800 nucleotides) under Bacillus stratosphericus. RNAcentral's name for it is "bacterial SSU rRNA". It matches the Rfam family "Bacterial small subunit ribosomal RNA", at positions 33 to 818 of the family's 1533-position model. Lineage: Bacteria; Bacillati; Bacillota; Bacilli; Caryophanales; Bacillaceae. The record is from RNAcentral.
GGGAUGGCGGCGUGCUAUACAUGCAAGUCGAGCGGACAGAAGGGAGCUUGCUCCCGGAUGUUAGCGGCGGACGGGUGAGUAACACGUGGGUAACCUGCCUGUAAGACUGGGAUAACUCCGGGAAACCGGAGCUAAUACCGGAUAGUUCCUUGAACCGCAUGGUUCAAGGAUGAAAGACGGUUUCGGCUGUCACUUACAGAUGGACCCGCGGCGCAUUAGCUAGUUGGUGAGGUAACGGCUCACCAAGGCGACGAUGCGUAGCCGACCUGAGAGGGUGAUCGGCCACACUGGGACUGAGACACGGCCCAGACUCCUACGGGAGGCAGCAGUAGGGAAUCUUCCGCAAUGGACGAAAGUCUGACGGAGCAACGCCGCGUGAGUGAUGAAGGUUUUCGGAUCGUAAAGCUCUGUUGUUAGGGAAGAACAAGUGCAAGAGUAACUGCUUGCACCUUGACGGUACCUAACCAGAAAGCCACGGCUAACUACGUGCCAGCAGCCGCGGUAAUACGUAGGUGGCAAGCGUUGUCCGGAAUUAUUGGGCGUAAAGGGCUCGCAGGCGGUUUCUUAAGUCUGAUGUGAAAGCCCCCGGCUCAACCGGGGAGGGUCAUUGGAAACUGGGAAACUUGAGUGCAGAAGAGGAGAGUGGAAUUCCACGUGUAGCGGUGAAAUGCGUAGAGAUGUGGAGGAACACCAGUGGCGAAGGCGACUCUCUGGUCUGUAACUGACGCUGAGGAGCGAAAGCGUGGGGAGCGAACAGGAUUAGAUACCCUGGUAGUCCACGCCGUAAACGAUGAGUGCUA